AGAGUUUGAUCCUGGCUCAGAUUGAACGCUGGCGGCAGGCCUAACACAUGCAAGUCGAGCGGAAACGAUCCUAGCUUGCUAGGAGGCGUCGAGCGGCGGACGGGUGAGUAACACGUGAGAAUCUGCCCAUUAGUGGGGGAUAACCUGGGGAAACCCAGGCUAAUACCGCAUAAUCCCUACGGGGGAAAGCAGGGGACCUUCGGGCCUUGUGCUGAUGGAUGAGCUCGCGUCGGAUUAGCUUGUUGGUGAGGUAAUGGCUCACCAAGGCGACGAUCCGUAGCUGGUCUUAGAGGAUGAUCAGCCACACCGGGACUGAGACACGGCCCGGACUCCUACGGGAGGCAGCAGUGGGGAAUCUUGGACAAUGGGGGCAACCCUGAUCCAGCCAUGCCGCGUGUGUGAAGAAGGCCUUCGGGUUGUAAAGCACUUUCAGUAGGGAGGAAGGCUUAUCCUUAAUACGGAUGAGUACUUGACGUUACCUACAGAAGAAGCACCGGCUAAUUUCGUGCCAGCAGCCGCGGUAAUACGAAAGGUGCGAGCGUUAAUCGGAAUUACUGGGCGUAAAGCGCGCGUAGGCGGUUUGCUAAGUCAGAUGUGAAAGCCCCGGGCUCAACCUGGGAACUGCAUUUGAAACUGGCAGGCUAGAAUGCAGUAGAGGGAGGUGGAAUUUCCGGUGUAGCGGUGAAAUGCGUAGAGAUCGGAAGGAACACCAGUGGCGAAGGCGGCCUCCUGGACUGACAUUGACGCUGAGGUGCGAAAGCGUGGGGAGCAAACAGGAUUA
RNAcentral lists this ribosomal RNA (781 nucleotides) under uncultured bacterium. RNAcentral's name for it is "bacterial SSU rRNA". It matches the Rfam family "Bacterial small subunit ribosomal RNA", at positions 8 to 780 of the family's 1533-position model. The record is from RNAcentral.